Molecule: ribosomal RNA, 454 nt
Filed under: uncultured bacterium
Lineage: Bacteria
Description: partial 16S ribosomal RNA
Rfam family: Bacterial small subunit ribosomal RNA
Source: RNAcentral
GAUGAACGCUGACAGAAUGCUUAACACAUGCAAGUCAACUUGAGCUUCGGUUUGGGUGGCGGACGGGUGAGUAACGCGUAAAGAACUUGCCUCACAGCUAGGGACAACAUUUGGAAACGAAUGCUAAUACCUGAUAUUAUGAUUUUAGGGCAUCCUAGAAUUAUGAAAGCUAUAUGCGCUGUGAGAGAGCUUUGCGUCCCAUUAGCUAGUUGGAGAGGUAACGGCUCACCAAGGCGAUGAUGGGUAGCCGGCCUGAGAGGGUGAACGGCCACAAGGGGACUGAGACACGGCCCUUACUCCUACGGGAGGCAGCAGUGGGGAAUAUUGGACAAUGGACCAAGAGUCUGAUCCAGCAAUUCUGUGUGCACGAUGAAGUUUUUCGGAAUGUAAAGUGCUUUCAGUUGGGAAGAAAAAAAUGACGGUACCAACAGAAGAAGUGACGGCUAAAUACGUG